Molecule: ribosomal RNA, 240 nt
Filed under: uncultured Geobacter sp.
Lineage: Bacteria; Pseudomonadati; Thermodesulfobacteriota; Desulfuromonadia; Geobacterales; Geobacteraceae
Description: partial 16S ribosomal RNA
Rfam family: Bacterial small subunit ribosomal RNA
Source: RNAcentral
AUUGGGCGUAAAGCGCGUGUAGGCGGUCUUUUAAGUCUGAUGUGAAAGCCCCGGGCUCAACCUGGGAAGUGCAUUGGAAACUGGGAGGCUUGAGUACGGGAGAGGAGAGUGGAAUUCCUAGUGUAGGAGUGAAAUCCGUAGAUAUUAGGAGGAACACCGGUGGCGAAGGCGGCUCUCUGGACCGAUACUGACGCUGAGACGCGAAAGCGUGGGUAGCAAACAGGAUUAGAUACCCCAGUA